Molecule: ribosomal RNA, 497 nt
Filed under: uncultured bacterium
Lineage: Bacteria
Description: partial 16S ribosomal RNA
Rfam family: Bacterial small subunit ribosomal RNA
Source: RNAcentral
GAUGAACGCUGGCGGCGUGCCUAAUACAUGCAAGUCGAGCGAACAGACGAGGAGCUUGCUCCUCUGACGUUAGCGGCGGACGGGUGAGUAACACGUGGAUAACCUACCUAUAAGACUGGGAUAACUUCGGGAAACCGGAGCUAAUACCGGAUAAUAUAUUGAACCGCAUGGUUCAAUAGUGAAAGACGGUUUUGCUGUCACUUAUAGAUGGAUCCGCGCCGCAUUAGCUAGUUGGUAAGGUAACGGCUUACCAAGGCAACGAUGCGUAGCCGACCUGAGAGGGUGAUCGGCCACACUGGAACUGAGACACGGUCCAGACUCCUACGGGAGGCAGCAGUAGGGAAUCUUCCGCAAUGGGCGAAAGCCUGACGGAGCAACGCGGCGUGAGUGAUGAAGGUCUUCGGAUCGUAAAACUCUGUUAUUAGGGAAGAACAAAUGUGUAAGUAACUAUGCACGUCUUGACGGUACCGAAUCAGAAAGCCACGGCUAACUACGUG